AGUCGAGCGGGGGAGGUUGCUUCGGUAACUGACCUAGCGGCGGACGGGUGAGUAAUGCUUAGGAAUCUGCCUAUUAGUGGGGGACAACAUUCCGAAAGGGAUGCUAAUACCGCAUACGCCCUUACGGGAGAAAGCAGGGGUAUUCUUCGAACCUUGCGCUAAUAGAUGAGCCUAAGUCGGAUUAGCUAGUUGGUGGAGCUAAAGGCCUACCAAGGCGACGAUCUGUAGCGGGUCUGAGGAGGAUGAUCCGCCACACUGGGACUGAGACACGGCCCAGACUCCUACGGGAGGCAGCAGUGGGGAAUAUUGGACAAUGGGCGGAAGCCUGAUCCAGCCAUGCCGCGUGUGUGAAGAAGGCCUUUUGGUUGUAAAGCACUUUAAGCGAGGAGGAGGCUCUUAAGGUUAAUACCCUUGGUGAGUGGACGUUACUCGCAGAAUAAGCACCGGCUAACUCUGUGCCAGCAGCCGCGGUAAUACAGAGGGUGCGAGCGUUAAUCGGAUUUACUGGGCGUAAAGCGUGCGUAGGCGGCUGAUUAAGUCGGAUGUGAAAUCCCUGAGCUUAACUUAGGAAUUGCAUUCGAUACUGGUCAGCUAGAGUAUGGGAGAGGAUGGUAGAAUUCCAGGUGUAGCGGUGAAAUGCGUAGAGAUCUGGAGGAAUACCGAUGGCGAAGGCAGCCAUCUGGCCUAAUACUGACGCUGAGGUACGAAAGCAUGGGGAGCAAACAGGAUUAGAUACCCUGGUAGUCCAUGCCGUAAACGAUGUCUACUAGCCGUUGGGGCCUUUGAGGCUUUAGUGGCGCAGCUAACGCGAUAAGUAGACCGCCUGGGGAGUACGGUCGCAAGACUAAAACUCAAAUGAAUUGACGGGGGCCCGCACAAGCGGUGGAGCAUGUGGUUUAAUUCGAUGCAACGCGAAGAACCUUACCUGGUCUUGACAUAGUAAGAACUUUCCAGAGAUGGAUUGGUGCCUUCGGGAACUUACAUACAGGUGCUGCAUGGCUGUCGUCAGCUCGUGUCGUGAGAUGUUGGGUUAAGUCCCGCAACGAGCGCAACCCUUUUCCUUAUUUGCCAGCACUUCGGGUGGGAACUUUAAGGAUACUGCCAGUGACAAACUGGAGGAAGGCGGGGACGACGUCAAGUCAUCAUGGCCCUUACGACCAGGGCUACACACGUGCUACAAUGGUCGGUACAAAGGGUUGCUACCUAGCGCAUAGGAUGUCUAAUCUCAAAAAGCCAAUCGUAGUCCGGAUUGGAGAUCUCCAACUCGACUCCAUGUGAAGUCGGAAUCGCUAGUAAUCGCGGAUCAGAAUGCCGCGGUGAAUACGUUCCCGGGCCUUGUACACACCGCCCGUCACACCAUGGGAGUUUGUUGCACCAGAAGUAGCUAGCCUAACUGCAA
RNAcentral lists this ribosomal RNA (1399 nucleotides) under Acinetobacter haemolyticus. Its description in RNAcentral is "bacterial SSU rRNA". It matches the Rfam family "Bacterial small subunit ribosomal RNA". The record is from RNAcentral. Lineage: Bacteria; Pseudomonadati; Pseudomonadota; Gammaproteobacteria; Moraxellales; Moraxellaceae.